GUCACAAACUUGAAGUAGAAUAGUUGAGUAUGGUCAGCUGAUCCUACUAAUCUACUCUACCUCAAGUUUGUGCUC
Haemonchus contortus (barber pole worm) is the source of this 75-nucleotide non-coding RNA. NCBI's taxonomy places the organism in Eukaryota, Metazoa, Nematoda, Chromadorea, Rhabditida, Trichostrongylidae. The record is from Rfam.